Molecule: ribosomal RNA, 506 nt
Filed under: uncultured bacterium
Lineage: Bacteria
Description: partial 16S ribosomal RNA
Rfam family: Bacterial small subunit ribosomal RNA
Source: RNAcentral
AUUGAACGCUGGCGGCAGGCUUAACACAUGCAAGUCGAGCGGUAACAGAGAGAAGCUUGCUUCUCUGCUGACGAGCGGCGGACGGGUGAGUAAUGCCUAGGAAUCUGCCUAGUAGUGGGGGAUAACUUGCCGAAAGGUAAGCUAAUACCGCAUACGUCCUACGGGAGAAAGGAGGGGACCUUCGGGCCUUUCGCUAUUAGAUGAGCCUAGGUCGGAUUAGUUAGUUGGUGAGGUAAUGGCUCACCAAGACCGCGAUCCGUAACUGGUCUGAGAGGAUGAUCGGUCACACUGGAACUGAGACACGGUCCAGACUCCUACGGGAGGCAGCAGUGGGGAAUAUUGGACGAUGGGGGGAACCCUGAUCCAGCCAUGCCGCGUGUGUGAAGAAGGUCUUAGGAUUGUAAAGCACUUUAAGUUGGGAGGAAGAGCAGUUAACUAAUAUUUGACUGUUUUGACGUUACCGACAGAAUAAGCACCGGCUAGCUUCGUGCCAGCAGCCGCGGUAA